CAGCCUCCUCCUUCCCCCUGGCACCGCGUUUCCGGCCACCGCAAGACGAGCACGAGGUGGCGGACGACGCACCGUGUGCCGCUGACUGCGUUUCCAGCCCCCUCUCACGUGAACGGAGCUCCAGCGGCGCGAUCGGACUGCUUCUGCAAACCGCACCUUGCUCUUCCAUUCUCAGGCGAAAUCUCGCCGUUUAGUCGAUCUCAGGCGACGGGAAGGGUGCCAAUCGACUCCUAAUCACCUCUAGAGCAUUUUCCUUCCAUAAAUUUGCGACUUUACCAAAGAUUUGAGAAGCAAUCGUGCGCGGAGGAGGUGCAGCGGCUGUCGGGCCCAAUUCGGCCAAUUAGAGGACUGAUCUCACUAAACUAACACUAAAAAUGGAAUCCUUGGUGAAUUUUGAGACUAAUGGUAUGAUCGUUGCAAAUUUCUGGGCAGUUUUGCUUUUUCCGGCCUCCGUGUACGGCAGCGGUCCGGCGACACUCAGGCGAGGCAUCAAGAGACAGAAUCUUACUCUCCUCGCGUGGAUCCUAGAAUCGUCACUUGAAUUUCGAUCGGUAUGCCCUAAGUUCUAUUUUCCGAUUUGUGUUAUAAAUUUCAAAUUUAAAUUUAUGGUUUAAUUUAGUUAAUUUUGAAUAGAUAUUUAAUCGAAGGGCUUUGAAAUAUUAGGUUGGAAGCUUGUGAAUUUAAUUGGGGGAUUUUUAAGAGAAUUCGAACUUAGGAUUCACUUGUUAGAAAUUGUGAUUAUAUUAGGUUGAGUACGUAAUUAAAAAUCACUAUUCAACCUAACUAAAUACAUUUAAUGUUGAAAAUCUAGAACAUAAGUCAUUUUGGAAUAAUUGUCAUAAAUCGAAACAUGAAGGACGAAUCGGAAUUAAUUAGUUAGAUAAUUAGAUGAUCGAAUCUAAAUAAAUAGUAGUUAUAAAUAGUUAUUGUUAAAAAUGAGUUGUAACAACUUAACAAUUUAAUUACCAUAAAGUUAUUAAUUUGGUCAGCUUAUGAUUUAACAAAUAAUCUUAUAUGAGUAUUAUUGGGUGUUAAUACUGAUGUUUAAGGAGGAUGGGAAUAAAGCUGAUUGAUUGCCCGAUGGAUGGGCUGUGUGUAUUGAUCGAUAAAUAUAUAAUAAUAGUGUGUUAUCUAAAUAGGUGGAUAGUCCAAUUUUUUAGGGGAGGUUCUGCCAAAAUUUCAAUAGAACAUAAUAAAUAAGCUUAUUUAGAUAAAUUCUAUAAUUUGAUACAUAAUAAAUAAAGUGCUCUAAUUAUUUAUUUAUUAUCAUUAUUAUUCGUUUAAGUAUUCCAUUAUUUAUUUAUUCUCAUUAUUAUUGUUUAUUAUUAUUAUUUAUUUUAUUAUUGUUGUUUAUUGUUAAUACUAUUUAUUUAUGUAGUUAUUUGCAUUGCAUUACGAUGUUUAAUUGAUUAAUAUGCUUGCAUUUAAUUGCAAUACUUGAUUAAUUGUGUUGUGAUAUUGCUGUGUUUUGUUUGUGUGGAAUUGGGAUGAAGUGGGUCACCAUGGGUUUGUGAGACAGUGGGUUACCAUGGGUUUGUGAGGACGGUCGAUAAAGCAUGGAUCCUAAUUGUGAUGAAUUAUGAAAUUGGACCGUCGGCCAAGAAAAUGGGAGAUCGGCGCCCUUGUGUGCACCUAAUACCAUGGAUUAUAUAGAAACCACAGGAUGACCUAUCGUUGUUGCGCACCUGAUAGUCUAGAUUUGAUCGCAGCCCGCAGGGUGGCCUCCUGUUGUGAGCGCCUGAUGAUCUAGAUUGGAUGGAGACCACCGGGUUGCCUCCUGUUGGUAUGGAAAAGAAAAGAGAGAAUGUAAAAACAAUGAGAGGACUGAUCGUGUGAGGAUUAGACUGGUCGGCCAGGUGUGGGGGAUUGGCUCCCCGGGUGCACAUGUCUGAGAGGAUGAGCCAGGUAAGAGUACGGCUCGUCGAGGGUUUCGGUGACGCCACUGACUAAUUUCCACAUGAUGUGAUUAUGUGAAGAUGUUAAUAAUUGUGAGUACUGGUGAUAUGCCAUUUGUGUGACUGGCUGCAUGAGCAUAUAACUAGUCGGAUGACUAGAUUGAUAUAUUUAUACAUUUGUGUGAAUGCGUGUGUUGUGCAAUAAGUAUUACUUCUUAGAAGUCUCACAUAUCUUGUUUAAUUUUUAAGGAAGUAAGUUUCUCUUUAAUUCGGUUAAGUUAUGUUCCUUCGCCGCAGGGCUAGAAGAAAAUUUUUCCAGUUCCAUAAUUAUUUUACUAUGUAAUUAUAUGUAUAAAAAGCUAUGUAUACCAAAUAGUUAGUGACUCUGUAGUUGUAGAAUUUGCUUACAAUUAGUCGUGUAUUAACAUAGAUGAUAUAAUUAUGUGAGCCCAUAUUAAAAAUGUGAUGUAUUGUUAAUUGGGCUCGAACUGUGGAAUGUUGUGGCUGAUAAAUUUGGGCCGAGAUUUAAUAAAAUCUUGAGGUUUAAUUUUCUAUAAAUAUGGGCUGAAUGUUUAAAAUUAUAUUGAAAUAGUAAAUUUUUAGUGUUUCACGCUUACUAAGGGUCUCAGGGGCCUUAAGCUUAUCUGGGCCCUAGUGCCGGUCCAGGCCAUGGAUUCGGGUCGUGACAGUUACAUACACUUUAAAAAAAUACAAUAAUUUGUCUAAACCUGAUUUAUGAAUUCAUUCUAUUUCUAUAGAUCAAAUGAACGAAAACUAUAUAUAUAUUUUAAAAUGAGAGCGUUGCUAGCUAUUACUUAGGAAAAAAAGAAAAAAAAUAAAAGUGAAAAUAAUUUUUAAAGAAAUUCGUAUUUGAUCUAUAGGUAAGUCC
This 2784-nucleotide long non-coding RNA is filed under the name Jatropha curcas. RNAcentral's name for it is "long non-coding RNA (JCUR_LNC000494)". Lineage: Eukaryota; Viridiplantae; Streptophyta; Magnoliopsida; Malpighiales; Euphorbiaceae. The record is from RNAcentral.